AUUGAACGCUGGCGGCAUGCCUUACACAUGCAAGUCGAACGGUAACGCGGGGCAACCUGGCGACGAGUGGCGAACGGGUGAGUAACACAUCGGAACGUGCCCAGUAGUGGGGGAUAGCCCGGCGAAAGCCGGAUUAAUACCGCAUACGACCUAAGGGUGAAAGCAGGGGACCGCAAGGCCUUGCGCUAUUGGAGCGGCCGAUGUCAGAUUAGCUAGUUGGUGGGGUAAAAGCCUACCAAGGCGACGAUCUGUAGCUGGUCUGAGAGGACGACCAGCCACACUGGGACUGAGACACGGCCCAGACUCCUACGGGAGGCAGCAGUGGGGAAUUUUGGACAAUGGGCGCAAGCCUGAUCCAGCCAUGCCGCGUGCGGGAAGAAGGCCUUCGGGUUGUAAACCGCUUUUGUCAGGGAAGAAACGGUCUGGGUUAAUACCCUGGGCUAAUGACGGUACCUGAAGAAUAAGCACCGGCUAACUACGUG
RNAcentral lists this ribosomal RNA (482 nucleotides) under uncultured bacterium. RNAcentral describes it as "bacterial SSU rRNA". It matches the Rfam family "Bacterial small subunit ribosomal RNA", at positions 29 to 507 of the family's 1533-position model. The record is from RNAcentral.